This is a non-coding RNA of Psilocybe cubensis, 108 nucleotides long. The record is from the annotation of a RefSeq genome assembly. Lineage: Eukaryota; Fungi; Basidiomycota; Agaricomycetes; Agaricales; Agrocybaceae.
CCUUCGAUAGCUCAGUUGGAAGAGCGUGAGACUGUAAUUGAUACUAAGUUACCUACACGUGCCUAUCACGUGAUCUCGAGGCCAUCGGUUCGAUCCCGAUUCGAAGGA